AAUCAACGCUGGCGGCGUGCCUCAGACAUGCAAGUCGAACGCGGAAAGUUUCCUUCGGGAAGCGAGUAGAGUGGCGUCCGGGUGAGUAACACGUAGGUAAUCUACCUUUGGGUGGGGAAUAACAACCGGAAACGGUUGCUAAUACCGCAUAAUGCAGCGGCACCACAUGGUGACAGUUGUUAAAGCGGGGAUCGCAAGACCUCGCGCCUAAACGAGGAGGCCUGCGGCGGAUUAGCGUAGNGGUUAAGGGUAACGGCUUACCAAGGCAACGAUCCGUAGCCGGCCUGAGAGGGCGGGUCGGCCACACUGACACUGGAAAUACGGGUCA
Molecule: ribosomal RNA, 328 nt
Filed under: uncultured bacterium
Lineage: Bacteria
Description: bacterial SSU rRNA
Rfam family: Bacterial small subunit ribosomal RNA
Source: RNAcentral